Molecule: long non-coding RNA, 1116 nt
Filed under: Fragaria vesca (wild strawberry)
Lineage: Eukaryota; Viridiplantae; Streptophyta; Magnoliopsida; Rosales; Rosaceae
Description: long non-coding RNA (FVES_LNC004632)
Source: RNAcentral
AGAUCGUUGUGAUAGAGAGUGAAGCGUUGCAGACUGAGAGGAAGGCGUUGGUCUUUUCUGACACGAAGAAGGUAUAGACCCAGAUCGUUGUGUUGGUGAACGAAAGCGUUCCAGAGCGAGAGGAAGGUGAUACAUUGAGACAUGCACAUAAAAAAAAAAUUAAAAAAACCAAAAAAAACAGAGAGAGAAUAAAACGGAAGGCUCAAGAAAGCUCUGGAAGCGAGAAAGAAAGUCAGAAGUGGAGAAUUGGACAUUGCAACAGCCAGGACAGAGGCCCAGCAAGGCCCAACACUGUAGCAUAUGAACAGUAAAAAUAAUUGAACAGUAACCGACCCGACGGAAAAUAGAUAUAUAGUAAACUAGAUAGCAACCCCGCGCGUUGCUGCGGGUAUGGAUCUCGAGUACCUACUACGCCAAUAAGUGCAACAAACGACACUUUUCACACAACGGUACACAAUAGCAGAGUUGUACAAAUUUCAAAAAUGCUUCAUACAACGUUCAGAAACAUUCAUCCGUUGUGUGGAUAGUUUGAGAUCAUUCCAGUUUUUUUUUCCUUAAACUAGUACAACACUUUAGACAAUAUUUUGUUGUCUGAAUGAAGAUAAAAAUGAGGCCCAUUUUGCUUCUAACCUCACUCUAUUUUGACAUAUGAUAAGACGUAUUUGCACACGCAUCAAUUAACCAUGUCAACAAAUCAGUCGUAGUAUAAAGCAAGCAGGGAUCGUUCUAAACCAGGGAUCCAACUACAGGGUAGAUCCAUCUAAUCUAAUAAAAAUGUCGAAAUAAGCAUAUAUGGUUUAAAGGUUUUGAUGAUUUUGGAAUAAACAUUGAAAAUAAAUCCUAAAUUACUUCUAUACAUAUUUACAUGUGAUCAACCAACAUUCAUGCAAACUCAACCAAACAACCAUGCAAGAAUAAAGAAGACGAUUUCUAAUCUCAUUUAAGUCUACACCGUGAGCAAAUAUACAACCUAAAUUUGAUAUGCACAUAAGUUCCUACGUGGUUCCUAUGACAUAGACCAACUUAGAAUUAGACUACGGGUUUCAUUCAACAUCGCGACACAACAAGCUCGGCUACAUGCUCUACUUAUUGGUCACACACAUAAACUAAUCAUGC